CCUACGGGAGGCAGCAGUGGGGGAUAUUGCACAAUGGGGGGAACCCUGAUGCAGCGACGCCGCGUGGGUGAAGGAGCGUUUCGGCGCGUAAAGCCCUAUCGGCAGGGAAGAAGGAGGACGGUACCUGACGAAGAAGCCACGGCUAACUACGUGCCAGCAGCCGCGGUAAAACGUAGGGGGCAAGCGUGAUCCGGAUGUACUGGGUGUAAAGGGGGCGCAGACGGCAGCGCAAGCCAGGAGUGAAAGCCCGGGGCCCAACCCCGGGACUGCUCUUGGAACUGCGCGGCUGGAGUGCAGGUGGGGCAGGCGGAAUUCGUGGGGUAGCGGUGAAAUGCGUAGAUAUCAGGAGGAACACCGGUGGCGAAGGCGGCCUGCUGGACUGCGACUGACGUUGAGGCCCGAAAGCGUGGGGAGCAAACAGGAUUAGAUACCCGAGUAGUC
Molecule: ribosomal RNA, 441 nt
Filed under: uncultured bacterium
Lineage: Bacteria
Description: partial 16S ribosomal RNA
Rfam family: Bacterial small subunit ribosomal RNA
Source: RNAcentral